UUAUUUAUUUUUGAGACGGAGUCUCGCUCUGUCGCCUAGGUUGGAGUGCAAAGGUGUGAUCUCAGCUUACUGCAACCUCUGCCUCCUGGGGUCAAGCGAUUCUCCUGCCUCAGCCUCCUGAAACGCUGGGAUUCCAGGUGCCUGCCACCAUGCCUGGCUAAUUUUUUUUGUAUUUUUAAUAGAGACAGGGUUUCACCAUGUUGGCCAGGCUGGUCUUGAACUUCUGACCUCAAGUGAUCCACCCGCCUCAGCCUCCCAAAGUGCUGGGAUUAUAGGUGUGAGCCACUGCGCUCGGCCCUUUCUGUGCUUUUAAAGAACAUAAUACUAUGGUAGCUAUAUUGCUGACAUGAAAGAACACAACUUUAAUUUUGUCUUAGAAUACUGUGGCAUAUAAAUUAGAAUUCAGA
This 407-nucleotide long non-coding RNA is filed under the name Homo sapiens (human). Its description in RNAcentral is "HSALNT0074480". The record is from RNAcentral. Lineage: Eukaryota; Metazoa; Chordata; Mammalia; Primates; Hominidae.